Long non-coding RNA from Monodelphis domestica (gray short-tailed opossum), 659 nucleotides. The record is from Ensembl. Lineage: Eukaryota; Metazoa; Chordata; Mammalia; Didelphimorphia; Didelphidae.
CUGGAGCUGGAAGCGCAACGAGGAUCAGCCGAUGGAGCUGCACUUUUUACUCGUGCGUCUGUGCGGCGGGUGGCUAAGAGAUAAAUCUUCAGCUAACAACAAAGGCGAGAAACGGCGAGGGGAAGAGUAGGCGAUGGCGGCAGCAGAAAUCCCCGUGAAGAGCUGUGAGCGAAAUCGAUACAUGUUUCUCACUAGCGCGGGAGCUAAGGCGGGGCGGUCAGGGGCCACAACGCCUUAUGUACUGGGACCGCUUGUCGUCACCAUCUAUGGGCGGGGCCUCCGUCCUUACCGACCAAUCCGGACAGACCAAUCGACCCCUACUCCCCGCCACCUUGCAUCCGGUCGGGUCUGUCAGAGGCAUAGACUCCCAAUCCCAUCCUGCAACACGCCCUAUGGAACCUAAAGGUCGGGCGGUCGUUGCUGCGCUGCAUGCCGGGGGAUGUUGUUUCUGGGAGCGUGACACCCCCGUAGGAGUGCUCUCCCCUCCCCCUCAAACCAGCUUCUCUCCUUGUCUCGCCGGCUUCACCCACGUGACCCCGCCCUCGUCUCCGCCUCCUCUGGGUCUCUUCCCAGGGAGUGACGCCUGGGCAAUCACUAGGUAUACUUCUUCAAGACUCUUAGAUCCCAGAACAUAGGCAGUCUCAACUUUUUCCAAACUG